AACGAACGCUGGCGGCAUGCCUAACACAUGCAAGUCGAACGAGACCUUCGGGUCUAGUGGCGCACGGGUGCGUAACGCGUGGGAACCUGCCCUUAGGUUCGGAAUAACUCCCCGAAAGGGGUGCUAAUACCGGAUAAUGUCUUCGGACCAAAGAUUUAUCGCCUUUGGGUGGGCCCGCGUUGGAUUAGCUAGUUGGUAGGGUAAAAGCCUACCAAGGCGACGAUCCAUAGCUGGUCUGAGAGGAUGAUCAGCCACACUGGGACUGAGACACGGCCCAGACUCCUACGGGAGGCAGCAGUGGGGAAUAUUGGACAAUGGGUGAAAGCCUGAUCCAGCAAUGCCGCGUGAGUGAUGAAGGCCUUAGGGUUGUAAAGCUCUUUUACCCGGGAUGAUAAUGACAGUACCGGGAGAAUAAGCUCCGGCUAACUCCGUG
Molecule: ribosomal RNA, 433 nt
Filed under: uncultured bacterium
Lineage: Bacteria
Description: partial 16S ribosomal RNA
Rfam family: Bacterial small subunit ribosomal RNA
Source: RNAcentral